Molecule: ribosomal RNA, 482 nt
Filed under: Lepidurus arcticus
Lineage: Eukaryota; Metazoa; Arthropoda; Branchiopoda; Notostraca; Triopsidae
Description: partial 12S ribosomal RNA
Source: RNAcentral
UAGUUCAUAGUAGUGGUUGAUGUUGAUUAUCAAGUUAUUUGGAAUCAGUUAAAAUUUUUAGGCCCGGCUUAACUCGUGCCAGCCGCCGCGGUUAUACGAUGGGGUCUAAUAAAAUCUUUUGGUGGAAUUAAGUAGAGUUUAUUUUUUAAAAUAAUUUUUUAACUAUUUAUUUAAGGGUGAAAUUUUUAAAUACAUACUAUAAUAAUUAUAAAAAAAUUUUAUAUCUUUUGAAAUAAAGGUUUAGACUAGGAUUAGAUACCCUAUUAUUCUUUAUUAUUAAGUGCCUGGGUAGUAGUGAUAUUUUUAAACCUAAAGAAUUUGGCGGUACUUCAUUCUUACUAGAGGAACCUGCUCUUGAAUCGAUAUUCCACGAUUAAAUUUACAUAUUUUUGUUUUCAGUUUGUAUACCGCCGUUGUCAGAUUAUUUUUAAAAAAUAUUAUCUAAUUAGCUUAUCGCUGUGACAUCAGGUCAAGGUGCAGCC